This is a small nucleolar RNA of Gossypium arboreum, 107 nucleotides long. NCBI's taxonomy places the organism in Eukaryota, Viridiplantae, Streptophyta, Magnoliopsida, Malvales, Malvaceae. The record is from RefSeq and is a predicted model, not a curated record.
AUGCCAUAAUUAGGACACUUUCGCAAUAACUCCUUGAACUGCUCCCAUGGCUCAUAUAGAGAUUCUUCAUCAAGUUGAUAAAAUAAGGUAAUUUCAUUACAAAGCCU